This 1125-nucleotide long non-coding RNA is filed under the name Equus caballus (horse). RNAcentral's name for it is "lncRNA (ENSECAG00000043938.1)". Lineage: Eukaryota; Metazoa; Chordata; Mammalia; Perissodactyla; Equidae. The record is from RNAcentral.
GCCCUGACUUCUCAUUCUACACCCACCUCUCAUCUUUGCCACACCCAUUCUUAACUCCUUCGUCCUCACUCAGAGGGAAAGAGGACUUUUCCUCUCUGAGGUUUAAGGAUCAUCCUCCAGGAUUGUGAUCUUGCUCUAACCUAUAUUUAGAUCCUUUCCUUCCACUAGCUUCUUCCUCUCAGCCUAAAUUAACAAAGCUGUUCAAGUCAGGACUCUCACCUGCAAGUGACAGACUCCCAACUCAAGCUAGCUUAGUGUAUGAGUGAGCUGUCUCUCCCAGGAAGUCAAGGUCCAGGCAUCAAGAUUCGGCCUCACAAGGCCAAACACAGGCUGAAGAUGAAAACCAACCAGAGAAGUCCAGACAGUGAAGGGAAAAGAAAUAAUUCAGUCUUCAAGGCCAAACACAGGCUGGUGGGAAGGCGUCAACCAGCAAGGCCACAUGUUCUCCCCCUCCCGUCCUAAAACCCCAGCACUCGCUCCCCCUCCCCUGCCUACAACCCCAGCACACGCUCCCUCCCCUGCCUAAAACCCAGACAAAAACUCCUACCUUUUUCCCUUCUAGGAAGUGGAUCUGAGUUCUAACUCCCAUCUCCUCAUCUGGCUGCCUUUCCAUAAUAAACCCUCUUUCCUUGCCACAAGCCUAGCAUUUCCAGUUUUUGGCCCUCCUGUGCAGUGGGUAAAUGAACCUGUGUUUGUGUUUGCUAACAAAGCCACCACUGGCACCACUGAUGCUGGGCAUGAACCUGCUAGAACCUCAGACCUAUUGCCUCUGAAAGCUCACAUUUCUCCACCCCACUCUACCAGCAUCUCCAGAAGAAACAUUUGUAUCCUUACAUUGCUAAAGUGGUCACACCACACACACCGCUGGAGUACCCACUGUCAUUGCCACCUCUUUCCAAGGUCUCUUCUCCAUUGUGGAGGAAAAGCUUGGAAUUACAUUUCCCAGAAACCCUUGUUAGAAUUUGCCAGUGAGAGGCAUUUGCCAAGAUUUGGGCUGCAAUAGAGAAGGUGAGAGUUGCAGUCAGAGGCAUGGGCCCACAUGAAAUACCCAGCAAGAUCCUGGAAAGUUCUUGUGAACCAGCAACUCUUUGAGACUGCAGACCAAAACAGUCGGUGGACUUUGUG